AGGGCACCACCAGGAGUGGAGCCUGCGGCUUAAUUUGACUCAACACGGGAAAACUCACCCGGCCCGGACACUGUAAGGAUUGACAGAUUGAUAGCUCUUUCUUAAUUCAGUGGAUGGUGGUGCAUGGCCGUUCUUAGUUGGUGGACUGAUUUGUCUGGUUAAUUCCGAUAACGAACGAGACUCUCGCCUACUAAAUAGACGGCGUAUCGAAACGUACGCCGAGCUUCUUAGAGGGACAAGCGGCGCCUAGCCGCAUGAAACAGAGCAAUAACAGGCCUGUGAUGCCCUUAGAUGUCCGGGGCUGCACGCGCGCUACACUGAAAGAAUCAGCGUGCGCGUACGCCUGGUCCGGAAGGACCGGGUAACCCGAUGAAAUUCUUUCGUGCUUGGGAUAGGGAAUUGAAAUUAUUUCCCUUGAACGAGGAAUUCCCAGUAAAUGCGGGUCAUAAGCUCGCGUUGAUUACGUCCCUGCCCUUUGUACACACCGCCCGUCGCUACUACCGAUUGGAAGAUUGAGUG
This 519-nucleotide ribosomal RNA is filed under the name uncultured eukaryote. RNAcentral describes it as "SSU rRNA". It matches the Rfam family "Eukaryotic small subunit ribosomal RNA", at positions 1161 to 1703 of the family's 1831-position model. The record is from RNAcentral.